Molecule: ribosomal RNA, 499 nt
Filed under: uncultured bacterium
Lineage: Bacteria
Description: partial 16S ribosomal RNA
Rfam family: Bacterial small subunit ribosomal RNA
Source: RNAcentral
GACGAACGCUGGCGGCGUGCUUAACACAUGCAAGUCGAACGGGCCUGUCUUCUUUUUUGGGGGUGGGUUGAGUGGCGAACGGGUGAGUAUCACGUGAGUAACCUGCCCUUCGGUCCUGGAUAACCGCUUGAAAGGGCGGCUAAUACGGGGUGGUCCGGUUGGUCCGCAUGGGCUGGUCGGGAUAGAUUCACUGUUUUUGGUGUUUCGGCGGGGGAUGGGCUCGCGGCCUAUCAGCUUGUUGGUGGGGUGAUGGCCUACCAAGGCGGUGACGGGUAGCCGGCCUGAGAGGGUGGGCGGCCACACGGGGACUGAGAUACGGCCCAGACUCCUGCGGGAGGCAGCAGUGGGGGGUAUUGCACAAUGGGCGGAAGCCUGAUGCAGCGACGUCGCGUGAGGGAUGGAGGCCUUCGGGUUGUGAACCUCUGUUUCCGGUGGUGAAGGCCCUGUCCGUGUGGUGGGGUUGACGGUAGCCGGGGAUGAAGCGCCGGCUAACUACGUG